Molecule: unclassified non-coding RNA, 337 nt
Filed under: Euphorbia dendroides
Lineage: Eukaryota; Viridiplantae; Streptophyta; Magnoliopsida; Malpighiales; Euphorbiaceae
Description: partial external transcribed spacer
Source: RNAcentral
AUCGAACUGUUUGCCCGGCGGUCGCUCAGUCGCGUCCCGUAGGAAUGUUUGCCCGGCGGGCGAGGAUGGGUUCCUGUGUUGCGUACCCACGUAGCGGAAUUCUUUACUGUUGCCGAACGUUGAAUUCUUCUCGUGCCUAUCGUAGGCACGCGAUGAACCGCGCAGUGCGUCCCGUGUCCCUCGCAUGUCGAAUCGUCUGCGUUGGCCCAGGGGAAUGCGCUCGUGCUCUCGGAUGCGGAACACCGUGCGAGCGGAGGGAUUAAGUUUCCUCGUUGAGCUCGUAGUCCCUCGGAAAAGUACACCGGCAUGCCCGUGUCGCGUCCUCGGGGGAUCCCCC